This 175-nucleotide small nucleolar RNA is filed under the name Capsicum annuum. RNAcentral describes it as "Plant small nucleolar RNA U3". It matches the Rfam family "Plant small nucleolar RNA U3". Rfam says of the family: Small nucleolar RNAs (snoRNAs) are involved in the processing and modification of rRNA in the nucleolus. The record is from Rfam by way of RNAcentral. Lineage: Eukaryota; Viridiplantae; Streptophyta; Magnoliopsida; Solanales; Solanaceae.
GCGACCUUACAUGAACAGGAUCUGUUGUAUAGGCUCGUAGCACGGUAUCCUUGAGUUCUAAGGAGACAGGAAACCAAGUAGGGUGGAUGAUCGCGUGGCUGUGAGACUAGAGCGUGAUUAGUAACCCCACCAUAGCCCACUCGGUGAUGAUUGUCUCGUGACUGUCUGACAGACU